GUGGGGAAUAUUGGACAAUGGGCGAAAGCCUGAUCCAGCCAUGCCGCGUGUGUGAAGAAGGUCUUCGGAUUGUAAAGCACUUUAAGUUGGGAGGAAGGGCAGUAAGUUAAUACCUUGCUGUUUUGACGUUACCAACAGAAUAAGCACCGGCUAACUUCGUGCCAGCAGCCGCGGUAAUACGAAGGGUGCAAGCGUUAAUCGGAAUUACUGGGCGUAAAGCGCGCGUAGGUGGUUUUGUAAGUUGGAGGUGAAAUCCCCGGGCUCAACCUGGGAACUGCCUGCAAAAAUGCAUGACUAGAGUACGGUAGAGGGUAGUGGAAUUUCCUGUGUAGCGGUGAAAUGCGUAGAUAUAGGAAGGAACACCAGUGGCGAAGGCGACUACCUGGACUGAUACUGACACUGAGGUGCGAAAGCGUGGGGAGCAAACAGGAUUAGAAACCCGGGUAGUCC
This 450-nucleotide ribosomal RNA is filed under the name uncultured bacterium. Its description in RNAcentral is "partial 16S ribosomal RNA". It matches the Rfam family "Bacterial small subunit ribosomal RNA", at positions 354 to 796 of the family's 1533-position model. The record is from RNAcentral.